This is a long non-coding RNA of Cydia pomonella (codling moth), 164 nucleotides long. RefSeq lists it as uncharacterized. The transcript has 5 exons. The record is from RefSeq and is a predicted model, not a curated record. Lineage: Eukaryota; Metazoa; Arthropoda; Insecta; Lepidoptera; Tortricidae.
UACAGUUUACUAACGAUGAAAUCGGGUCACAAGACAAUGUAUUUAAUUACUUUAACAAGAAACUCAGACAGGCCGUAUCUAAAAAGAAGCUGUCUAGCGCGACAACUUUAAGUGAUUCGAUUUCGCCUAAGCAAAAGGACGAGGCUUUACAGGUACCUACUUUA